GGGACGGGCGGGAGCCGGACGGGCUGCUCCUCCGCGGCGCGCGGCGCUAGCGGCCUCGGUCGGAGGCUGGGCCGGGGCCGGGGCCGGGGCCGGGCAGGGUUGGGCAAGGCGGCAGGAGCCGCGGCCCGGCUGGAUCCGGGACCGCCGCCGAGUCGACGGCGAAGGGCGGGGCGACCGGGAUUUAAAGGGGCCGCAUCACCCGCUGCCGCUGGGAGCACCACGAGGGGGCGGGGUGGGAGGCCAGCGCCCGGGAUCCCGGUGGGCCCGACUCGGGAGCACGGCUUGCGCGUGGAAUAGCGCGCCCUGAGGGAGAGGUGGUCUAGUCUCAGGAAAGUCGAGGUGAUGAAUGAAGGUCAGCUCCUGUACAGCAGGGACAGACCGCGGAGGUGCCAGCCCCACAAGUCGGCUUCCAGGAAGAUCUCAUGGACAACUCCCCACACCCAGACCUUCAAGCCCUCCUCCCGAUCGAGAGGAUCUAGGCUUGGGAGGGGACCCGAGUGACCCGGCUGAGGUUAUCUCUAGAUAACUGGCGUGGCCAGGAGUGCCCGCUGCCCUCUCCUGCGCCCACCAGUACCGCCUUCCCAAGACAUUCUCUGCUGCGCCUCGGAUGGUGUGGAGCACCCUCCGGAGCCCAGCCGGCUAGCUUCCCGGUGCCAGCGUGCCGUGGGCGAGAGUCAGGCUCAACCUGCAGUUUAGAGGGGCACCAGGUCCGCAGAGUGACUCCAGGCUCUGGCUCCAAUUUGUACAGCGAUCGCCUCAGCUUUUAUUGCUGGUCUGGUCUUGCACUUUCCAUACACGGACUCAUUACAGACUUCCCCCCAGGCCUCUGCUGAACCGGGAACUGGACGCAUAAUGAAAGGACUGGUUGGGCCAGGAGGGCAGCUUCUGGGCAUGCAUUUUGGUAGCGCCAUGUCUACUUCCCUGUUUGGGCCUCACCGCCAUUCAAAAUGGAACCAAAUGCUACUUUGUAAAAUGGAGCUACGCAGGACCCGCGUGAUGACUGCUACUACCAUUCUUCCUCGGGAACCACACGGUGGAAGGAGUGAAAUAACUCCUGCGAUUUGUUCUCCGAUCUUCGCAUGCUAGCUGUGGUCACACACACACACACACACACACACACACACACACGUGCGUUUGUGUGUAUGUCCAGGAGGGCCCUGCUGGGGAUGGUGGCCCCUCCGGGUGUGUGAUCAAGAGGCCAGCCAGGACUGCACAGUAAAAUCUUGGGGGCGGUGGGAGGGGUGUCAGGUGACCCACAGAAGGCAAGGCACAGCUAGAAAGCCACUGUUUGACAGUUUGGAAUGACUUCGAGCAGGUUACAGCCUUAUUUCCACACCUUAUCUUGUUGGAGCCCUCUGAAGGAAACUGUUCCGGUUUGUUUUUCUGUAUUUUCAUAGGAGUCUUCUCUGUGUUGCAAAGAAUAGCAGGUUUUCAUUUUGGUCA
This is a long non-coding RNA of Arvicola amphibius (Eurasian water vole), 1443 nucleotides long. RefSeq lists it as uncharacterized. The record is from RefSeq and is a predicted model, not a curated record. NCBI's taxonomy places the organism in Eukaryota, Metazoa, Chordata, Mammalia, Rodentia, Cricetidae. The transcript is spliced from 2 exons.